This 420-nucleotide long non-coding RNA is filed under the name Locusta migratoria (migratory locust). RNAcentral's name for it is "partial Lnc37711". Lineage: Eukaryota; Metazoa; Arthropoda; Insecta; Orthoptera; Acrididae. The record is from RNAcentral.
AGAAAAGAAGAAUCACUUGUAAUUGAAUGAGAUGAACAAAAUACUCAAACAGAUAUUGCAGACAAUGUGAUACAGUAACUAGGAGUAAUUCCAAAGAAGAAAUGUGAAGAGGAAGAGCUUUGUGUGAAAUGUUGGAUAAGGUAAACUGUACAGUAUCAUAGUGUAUUUACUGUAAUGCGAGCAACAAGUGUACAGUGAUAAGAAGUAAUAAAGAUAAUAAAGAGAGAUCUUCAUUUUAAAUGAAAGCUAGUUUUACAAAAGAGAUGAUACAUAAAGAUCUUGUUAAAAAUUCGGCAACAGUGAAUCUAAGUAUCCAACAGCUCUCUCCAGAAAUGAAAACUAAAUGUUUCAUCAUUUAAUAACUUGUGUUUUCUGUAGACUACCUCCCAGUUACUUCUAAACUUUUAAUAUAGUUCAAGG